AGUGAACGCUGGCGGUAGGCCUAACACAUGCAAGUCGAACGGCAGCACAGUAAGAGCUUGCUCUUACGGGUGGCGAGUGGCGGACGGGUGAGGAAUACAUCGGAAUCUACUUUUUCGUGGGGGAUAACGUAGGGAAACUUACGCUAAUACCGCAUACGACCUACGGUUGAAAGCAGGGGAUCUUCGGACCUUGCGCGAUUGAAUGCGCCGAUGUCGGAUUAGCUAGUUGGCGGGGUAAAGGCCCACCAAGGCGCCGAUCCGUAGCUGGUCUGAGAGGAUGAUCAGCCACACUGGAACUGAGACACGGUCAAGACUCCUACGGGAGGCAGCAGUGGGGAAUAUUGGACAAUGGGCGCAAGCCUGAUCCAGCCAUACCGCGUGGGUGAAGAAGGCCUUCGGGUUGUAAAGCCCUUUUGUUGGGAAAGAAAAGCAGCAGGUUAAUACCCCGCUGUUCUGACGGUACCCAAAGAAUAAGCACCGGCUAACUUCGUG
RNAcentral lists this ribosomal RNA (492 nucleotides) under uncultured bacterium. Its description in RNAcentral is "partial 16S ribosomal RNA". It matches the Rfam family "Bacterial small subunit ribosomal RNA", at positions 29 to 507 of the family's 1533-position model. The record is from RNAcentral.